UUUGCAAAUGAAAGAAGGUAAUUCCCUCUGCAGCCCCCCGACAAGUGACCUUGCUCUUUUCUCCUUGGCCAGUGGGAAGCAAACUCAGGAGCUCUGGCCUUAGGAGAUGGGAGGAAGACUAAAGCAGCAGUUCUCAAAGUGUGAUCCGGGAGACCCUGCAGAUCCCAAGAUCCUUUCUAGAGUUUCGGUGGGAGAACUAGUUUUAGAAUUAUAGACGUCAUUUGCCUUUUAAACUCACAAUGGAAUUUUCCAGAGGCGACCUGAUGUCUAAUGAUGACACUGCUCUUAUGACCAAAGGAAUGUGAGCUCGUAUAUUCUUUUAGAAUUUCCUAAGUGAAUCCAGGAAAAUAGAGGAUGCUUCAAAGAAGGAAACGCGAGAGUACCCUGCACCCAAACAGCCUCUGGCCUGAGGAACAAGGAACAGACCAAUGUUCUGGCCCUGGUGCAAGUGAAUGUUUGGCAUAGUCUGCUGGCAACAACAGAAGUUAUUACCUGAAAACUCAUUCUGAAGGUGGAGGAUGUUGGGGGAGUGCUCUUGACAGUUCCAGUCUCCUCAACCUCUUCCUCUUCGUAAGCCUUUCUCCUCUGCUUUGCAUCCCUGUCCCCAAUCACAAGAAUAGGACUGAUAAGUAGAGCUCUGCAAUAUGGGUUAUGAACACCUGCAGUUUAAGACAAGUAAACAAUUGAUGGCAGCAGUGGCCUGUCUGGAGCGGCUACUGUGAAGAUGCCAGCUGUAGUGUGGGAGGCACGGUGGGGGCUGCGUGCUCCGUGGAGCUGGCCGGAGCCCCACCCUCUUCUGAGUUGGCCGGGUGGGAGCCCCACGCUUUCCGGCACAGCUGCAACCACCCAGCCACAGCUGCAGACCUGGACAUCCCUGUGCUCUCGGGGGCUGGGAAGACCCCCUGACCCGCAGGCUUGGAAGUGCCUGCUCCUGCUGCCUGGCCUCUCCUUGCUCCUGGAGCCCACUCUGGGGUGGAGCAAAGUUGUGGCUGAGGCCAAGCGCUGUCUAGACCCAGCUGGGUGUGCGUGCGCCUGGGGCGCCGCUGACAUGCCAGCCCCCUGCCACCCUGGCCCCCUCUAGGCUUUGGGCACUGAGAAGCACAGGAGAGAGGCUGGCGGCGUGGGGUGGGGGAGCUGAGGGCACUCGGUGCGGGCUGCCGGUACUCCUCUGCAGGAACAGCCUGGGCGCUGUGGAUGACAUGAUUGAUGGUGGCAGGAGGCAGACAGGCUCCUGGGCGGAAAGAGGUGGGUCCCCGGUAAAGCCCCACCAUCAAGCCAGGGAGGCCUGAAGCCCAGGGGCUAGGCUGUCAGUCCCGGGUGAAGUCUGUGGCCCGGAGUGAGAACUUAUGGUGAUUUUUCCGGGUCAGCCCAUGGCCACCCAUGGGCCAAUCAGCAUGCACUUCCUCCCUUCUGAGCCUAGCCAGACUCACACAGACGCUGGGACUACCAGCUGUGGGAAGGAGCUACCCAAUUCAGGUCUCCUCGACUCAUCAAGACAACCUGCCUGAAGAAGGGAGCUACCCACUCUGGGUCUCUUCUCCACUGAGAGCUGGACACUUACUGGGACAACCUGCCUGCGGAAAGGAGCUACCCACUUCAAGUUUCCCGAGAGCUGUUCUGUCACUCGAUAAGGCUCCUCUCCGCCUUGCUCACCCUCUAGUUGUCCGCGUACCUCAUUCUUCCUGGAUGUGGGACGAGAACUCAGGACCCACUGAAUGGCGGGACUGAAAGAGCAGUAACACAAACAGGGCUGAAACACGCCCUCCUCCCGUCCCCACACCCCCGCGACUUGCCAUGUUGCGGGUGAUGUGAAGGAGAGAAGUGCUGUGGCCCUUCAGGGAGCACAGACCUAGGGGCUCCCUGAGCCAGGGCUGUGACACCCUCUUUGGGGCUCUGCGGUUUCUGGUAUCUUCAAACUUCCGGGCACCACUGCAUUCCCCUUGUCCAGACACAGGUGCCCACAGCAGAAGCCGCUUGUGGUUCAUCAGAUCCAGCUGCAGACUUGCAUAGAACCGGCACCUUUGCCGGCGCCUGGAGCUGCCUGCCCAGCUGCAGCAGCUGGUGUGUCCGGCUCUGCGCAGUGGCCAGACCCUGCGUUCGCUCGCCUGCACACCCCUCGCUGUUCCGUGCCUGGCUCACCCUCGGCAGGCGUGGAAUCCUGGCUGGUAGCAUGAGCUGAGCACAGCCUGCCAGGCCACGUCAGUGGAACAAGUCUGGCGGGCCUGAUCAAAACUCAGGCAAAGGCACCACUGGUCACAGAGCUUUCUAGCUGGAAAAGCAACACCUGAAGGAUCCCGUGACACAAUCAACCUGCUAGGAGAUCCCUGCCACCCUGAGAGGCUGCAGGAAGCUGCCUCCAUCCAGGCCUCUUCACAGAAGGAGAAUUGCAGAGACCGUAGGAUUUUUCUACUCACAGGAACAGAUGGUGUCCGGUCAGGAAGGUAAAAUGCUUCAAGAAAAGUGCAAUAGGGAUUAUAAUACUGAUGAUCUGAGACUCUGAUAAUGACUCUGAGAUGAUUCCCAAUUCUAUGAUGAAUCAUCUCAGAAUGACUCCGAGAUGAUGAUUCCUGAUUCUACGAUGAUUGAGGCAGAGCUCACUGGUUGGUGAAUCUAGUUGGUAGAGCUGAGGCACCGCAAUACCAUCAUUUCUUUCUGAGGAAAUCUAAAGAUGAAAGAAUUCAUCACUAAAACUGUACUACGAGAAAUGCUAAAGGAAGUUGUUCAAACUGAUGGAAAAUUAUACCAGAUGGACACUUGAAUUUGCCCAAAGGAAUGAAGAGCACCAGAAAUGGCAAAUGUGUGGUCUUACUGUAUCUUCAUGUCAGUGUCAUAUCAAGGACAAGACAGCAGAAAUGGUCCACUCCAGUUGCAGAUAGUAAAGACCCUGUAGCUCCAGCAUCAGCUCACCUUUCUGGUUUUGAAUUUCAUGCUUAUUACCAUCCUGUCAUCACCUACUGUUUCCAUGGUAGACGGGACUAAGAGAUGGGUAAGAAUGAUACAUGUGUAAGGAUGUAACCAAUAAAUGACACAGACUCACAUCCACCUGAAAGGGCACAAUGAAAUAGUAGUAAGAAGUCCAGAAUCUAUUUUUGCCAAAGUACAGUGGAAAGAAGUGGAAAUACAGUUUCCUUAUUUAUUGGCUUUAGGUGGAAAAGAGUCCUAGAUUACAAAAAUUAAAUGCAGACAUAGGCUUCUGAGAUGACAAUUUUCAAGUCAUUUUAUUUGCAAUAUGGUGGGGAGCCCGUCAAUUAAGUUAGAACUAUCUGUCAUUCAUUACUUUAUAAUUUACCAGAGUAAAAAUAAAUUAGAAUACAUUUGUCCCCAUGGGGAGACAAACCAAAAGGGAGAAAUCUUGUCUGAAGGCUUGGAAAAUGCUGAAUAUGUACAUGAAAGGGGAACUUGAAUACUACAAUUUGAGGCCCUGUGAUCAUCUAGGUUUCUAGAUGAUGUCUCAUUUCCAAGUUUGAGUCCUGUGACUGCAGAGUCCCCUGAUUCCACCAGUGACUGCUGUUAUCAAUGACUGGGGUCAUGAACCUACUUUCAGAUCUACCCCAUUAUCGGGUUUUCGUGACAAGUCUCGGGUGCAGGACUGCGCCCUCUGGUGGAGAAGGACACAACUAAUUACACAUCUGAUAAUAGCCAGUACUUCCUUUUUUUUUUUUUUUUGCCAUUACUUUCAGUGGCAAAAACUGCAAUUACUUUUGCACCAACCUAAUGUUUGGUAAAUGUGUGCUAGCCAUCAAUUGCUGGCCAUUUGACUUUUUGGAGAGUUACUUAAUGUCUCUAAACCACAAUUUCCUUAUCUAUAAGAUGGUAAUACUGACCUCAUACAGUUGUUGUGAGUAUUAAAUAAGAUUAGUGCUUAUUUAAGGAAUUAGUGCUCAAUAAACCAUACUAUCCAUACUAUUAUUUGGUCACUUUUUUUUUUUGGACGGAAUCUUGCUCUGUCACCUA
This 3954-nucleotide long non-coding RNA is filed under the name Homo sapiens (human). RNAcentral's name for it is "HSALNT0407143". Lineage: Eukaryota; Metazoa; Chordata; Mammalia; Primates; Hominidae. The record is from RNAcentral.